Molecule: long non-coding RNA, 6224 nt
Filed under: Sus scrofa (pig)
Lineage: Eukaryota; Metazoa; Chordata; Mammalia; Artiodactyla; Suidae
Description: lncRNA (ENSSSCG00000056620.1)
Source: RNAcentral
UGUAUGUUCAUUUUAUAUACUGAUGACUCUUUUAAUCUUGUAAGAACCACAUCCAGCAAUGAAUCACAUUCCUUGAGUGAAUAAUUCAGUCCUUGACGCCAACCUCUGAGGGGAAUAUUGUGGUCAUGCUGUCUGAACAGUGUGGUAGCUAUGGCUACCUAUAUAAUUCUUCGCAAUGAAAAAAAGUGACAAUGACAUUAAAUUUAAUCAGGUUCCCCUUUUCUGUGGUUCCCACUGGGAUGAGCCACUAGUGUCUUGCCUUAAAUAUUCAAAGGCCUUCCUGAGUAGUUUGCAUGUGUUCGUAUCCUGGGACAAUGUCCUGCUAAUACAGAACAAUAGAUCUGUCAUGUAUUUCUCCUGCAAGUAGAUGUGAGUCUAAAGUUCCUAAGUAUAGGGUUUAAGGGCUUGUCUUCCCUUCAAUGACCAUCUUAAGUCUUAACAAAUGGCUCUAAGGAAAUGCACAUAGACACUAAAGUGUAAUGAACUUGAUUAUCUGAGUUGGAAACUCAAAUGGAUUAAAGAACCGUGUGUGCUAAAUUAUAAUAAAGCUGCCCAGCAUUAUUUUUAGUCACACUUCAUCCAAUAAGAAAGACACGGUGCAGGAUAUCACAUGGUUGAAAACAUUUGAAACACAUAGCUUAAAAGAUAUUUGGGGACAGCAGCAUACAUUUAUGCCCUUGUACUCCUGCAGAAUACUCAAGUGGACAUCAUUUUCUUUUAAAUCAUAGUUCAGAGGUUACAGGAUAUAUUUUAUGUCCAUUUUGUAUUUCUGGAAGGAUAGUGAUAAGCUAACUUUUAAUGUUCAAAGGAUGAAAAAAAUAAAAAGAUUUUUUUCAUAAGCAUCUGUGAGUGUCUGCAACAGAUCUGUGCCAUUCAUUUAAAAUCUUUCUGAUGGCUCAUAACUUUGAUACUGGAGAAACUGUAGAAAGGGAAAUGCAAAUUAAUUUCUUCUUGUCUUUUUCAAGAAGUCAAAAUCAACCAAACAAAUAAAGACUAGCAACAAAACAUAAUUCCUAAGAAAGAAUUAUACUUUGAGAGUAAUUAAGAACUGUGCAUGACACUUUAUAACUGUCUAAACAGAGCAACUCUGUCUUGGGUUAUAUUUAAUCCCUUAGUAUUUCCUAUUAAAAACUCACCCUGAGAAUCUUUGAAUAGCAUUAUUUAAUAUAUUUGUGUGGCAUAGUAGAAAUCUAAGAAUAAUAUUUAAAUGGUGUAAUAUACCAUAGCCAUAAUAUAAUAAAAGUGAACUUCACAAGUCUCUCAGACCUUUGAGGCUGCUUGCAUAAAUUCUGCCUGCUAAAUUUCUUCUAUUAUAUAUAACUAAAAUAGAGGUAGAAAUGGAGUCUGUGGUAAAUACUGACCAUUUCUUUCUUUUCCUCUACCUUCUUGUCUCUUAUUAUUGAGUCUUAGAUGCUAUUGAAAUCUUAGGGUUCUUUGUCUUGCAGAUAUGCAUGUAUAACUCCUAUUAAUAUCAAUUUCAUUGCCUGAAAAUUGUUAGCUCAUUGCACAAUUGAAAGGAUGAUUAAUCCCUUUAUAGCUUUCUGUUUUCACUCAUUAGGUAGGUGUUUGAAGAUGGAAAACUUAAAAUUGUUUCUAAUGUCAAGAUCAUAGUCAAAGAAGAAAGCUUAUCAUAAAUCUAUAAGGAAUUUCUCCUCUAAUGACAUAUCAUUGACCUCAGAGUCAUGGAAGAGUUCAAGGUCAACCAGUGAGACACUCACAGUGGUCAACUAUUUUUGACUGACUGACACUUGUUUUUUAACCUUUGAAAAUGUGAUUUCAUGUUUAUCAAACUUUGACAUAAAGCAUUGUGUGUAAUAUAGAAAUAGGGACCUUAUGGUAUGGCUUUCUCAUAUAAAUUUGACAGACAAUAUAUUGGCAUCCUCUUUAGGACAGAUCAGUGUCAAGGGGGCAGGAGGUCAGGAUUGAACAGACUUACUGAAUAGGUUUAAGUCAGAGAAGACAGGUUCCACAGGAAAACUGCCUUUCCAAAUGGUCCCAUUUGUAGACCUAAGACGUCGCAACUCAACUCUCUCUACUCUUCCUAUUGUUUGGCAGCAGGGAGAUAGAACAAAUCAGUAACCUGUGUGUAUAUGCCAAAGAUGAUGUGAGAUCAUCGUUCAGGGUAAAAUGGAAAGGAAUCCAGACAGAGAGAAUUUUAUGUGGGUGCCAGGACUGAUCCUAGAAAGAGUAGUAGGAAAGUUUGUCUUUAUGACUGUUUAUGCUUCAGCACUUCAUUUUUCCUUCCUUAUGAUUACUCUUCUUGAAUAUUUCUUGCAAUUUGCUAGUUAGGUGUUAACUGAUAAAUGCUUAGUGUCUAACCUAUUUCCAAAUAUCUGAAAUUGUCUUAAAAUCUCUUUCAGCCUUCUUAAACUACAUGGUACAUACCUGGCUUUCCUCUAUCUCAUUUCUGUCUUUCCUACUCAGUUUGUGUUUUGACCACAGAGAGCAAAGUUUGAAACUAUCAUGUGUUUCUUUAUAACAUUUUUGCCAGUGGGUUUGUUUGCAUGGAACCAACCCUUGAAUCUGAAGGAACUGAUCAAUAAGAAAGUAGAAUGCUACUUCAGAAAAUUACUGGACUUUAAAAAAAGGAAUGUACUGGUCUCUGCAUUAGAUUUAGUGAUUCUUUGGUACUUCCUAUAUUUCAAAGAAAUCACAUUAAAAUUAUGUCGUUUGGAAAAAAACAACUUUUGGAAAGGCUCCUCUUAAAAUAAUAUAUAUUCCUUGAAGGAAACCUAAUUCAAAUAAUAAAGAUAUUUUAAUAUAUGUAUAACUUCAUUAUAUAGAGAUUUCAACUGUGGAUAUUUAAACUAUAAUCAUUAUUUUGUUAUUAUAAAUUAUACUGUGAUUAAUGCCUUGUACUAGAAUCUUUUGUUGUUUUGUUGCUGAAGCCUUUGAAAGUAAGUUGCAGACAUCAUGUUUUAUUUUGCGGUGUCUUAGUAUGUGCUUCCCGUAAGCAAGGGCACUCUCCUAGAGAAUCUCAGUACUAUUUUCCCAGGAGUUUAGCACUAGCAUAAUAAUAGUUUCUAAAAUAUAGCCCAUGUUCAAAUGCCCUCAUUGUCCCCUGUAUGCCCUUUAUAGAAUUAUACAGCGUUCCUUUGUCUCUUCUUACCUACUUCUUUUCUUCCUUCCUCCCUCCCUUUCUUCCUUUCCUCCCUUUCAAUCCAGGAUUAUACAUUGCAUAUAGUUAUUAUUUUAGACUAAAGGAGACUAUUUAGUCUCCUAUUUAAACAGCCCCCUUCAAUUUAAAAUAUUCCUGUUCCCACUGUUGUUUUCUUUUUUAAAAAUAAUGACCUUUGUAAUUUUGAAGAGUCCAAGCCAGUUGUCUUUCAGACUGUUCCCUAAUCUGGAUUUUAAAAAAUUAUUUCUCAUGGUUAGAUUCAGACUAAUAAUUUUUGGCAAGAAUGCAACAUAGGUUAUAUUGUGGAGAUUCACAUUGAAAUUAUACUUUUCUUGUUGUAAAAAAUAGGCACAUAUUCACCUAUUUUGAAUGAUGUGUUCAAAAUUUUCAAAAGAUUCUUUGCCAAUUUGAAUAAAAACAUUUAGUUCUUAUUUUGUUGAUUACUGAUGAAGUAAAACACCAUAUAAUUUUUUUUGGCCAUGCCCAUGUCAUGUGGGAGUUUCCAGGCCAGGGAUCUGAACCUGAGACACAGCAUUGGCAAUACUGAGAUGUUAACUGCUAGGCCACUAGGGAACUCCAUAAUGUAAUUUUUUAUUAAUAUUUUUCUUUUGUGAAUUUAUUGGUCAUUUAUUUCAUCCAUAAAAUAAACUAGCCUAUUAAUAUACUUAAGCCACUUUUAUCAAAUUUAAUGCAAAUACUUUUGAAGGAACCUUCUUGUAAUUUUUAAGUAUGAAAUUGAAAAUAACAAAAUAAACUCUCUCUGUAGUUAACAGACAGCUUCUAGGUGGUUCCUUAGAGUUAUUAUGCAAUAUCACAUGUGUAUGCCUCUUACGUGGCUUCAGCUAGCAUUCGCUAGUCUACACUGGGCCUCAUUUUAGCUUUAAUCAUUGGGAAUCUACAAGAUAAUUCACAGACUUCAAAUAUCCUGGUAACCUCUUUAUGAUGAGGGUUUGUGUAUCAGUGAGUUAAAAUAGAAAAAUGCUUAGAAUUUUGCCAUACCAACACGUGAAAUAGAUUUGGGAAGGUACAUUUUCAGAACUUAAAACUGUCAAAAAAUUGCAGACGCUAAUAGCAGGUAGGCAGAUUUGCUGGGCAGAGAGACAAAGAUGGGUUGCAAACUACUGCAAGUUAGGUUUAUCCCCAAUACAUCUAAAUUAUUUAAUUUAGGUUUGCCCUAGGAUGCAGAUAACAGCAGAAAGAGUAGUCUAGAUAGUCCCACUUUGAAAAGGAUUCUCCUGCUUCUCUGAGGAUGAAGAGUUGUGUAGCUGGUGAGUGAUGGCUUCACAGGAUUUACAUUUACUGUAUAUUAAUGCCACUUAUUUCAUUAUGGAUGUUACUAGAUCAUUUAGUUAAUAGAUAUUAGGAAGAUGUUCAGUUGAAGUUGAAAGAGAACAGCGUGUGACUCCCAGAGCAUCCAAGAUGUCCCACAAAGUGGCAAAUAUUUUGAUGGGUAUUUUCCUUAACUUUUCAAGUUCAAACAUAUAAUUUUGUCAACCCUUGAAGAGUAAGAACUAAGAAUGUAUGUCUUGCAGAUUGUUUCCCAACAUUUGGUGCCCUAUCCUGGAUAAGAAUAAUGUAUUGCCACGUUGUUGAACUUAGGUGAAGUGGGGUGACUUGCCUUGCUGAUAUCGUUUCUGGGCAGAGAUUUUUUCAUUUUCUCUUCUUCUCCUUCUCUGAUGCUACAAGGAUAACCCAUGAUGUUCCUGAUAGGAACUAUUCUGUAAGGCUGGGAGACCAGAGUGGAGAUGGCAUGGACUAGACCUAUAGAUGCCUGUGUUGUAGUCACUGAGGUUUUUAGGGAUGAUUUUUCCCAGAAUAACUUACCCUAUUCUAAGGGAUAAAAUUUUUCAAGGAUGUGCUAGUGCUAUCCAAGGCUAAUGCUUUUACCCUGGAGACAUAUUUUCCCAAGUAAAGUAAGAAUAGAAUACACGUGGACCAAAAUAUUUCCAUGAGCAUGACCAUUAGAGUUAUACAUUGAGGUAGAGCUUCAGUAGCAGGUUGACUUGUAGACCUAAUUUCCUUGUUUUGAAUUUUUGUUCUUUGAAAGUAGAUUUUGUUUCAGGAAAUAGCCAUAACCAAAAGUCAUUUGGAACCAAAUAGACUGUUUAAGGUGGUUACAUUGUACAAUCUCCGAAAAUGGCUAGGAAUGGUAGAGCAUUUGUCUACUUUAUACCUUCCUGCCUGAAAAUAGCAAGAAUGCUCUUCCAUCCGUUUGCCAAAACUCAGAGAUUUUAAAAAUAAUUUUUGUGAUAUUUGAAAUUAUUUCAGCUAGUUCUAGAACAUCUUUAUUAAAUCAUAUCCUACAGCUUCUCCCCAGACGAUUUAGAAUGUUUACCUCAGGUCUCAUUUCCAUUUUGGCUAAUCAAGUUGUGAUGAGGAUCAGAGUGAUUACUUUAGAGUGAGGAGUAGAACGGAGUCAUUCAUUUUCUCUACUAUCUUUGAAACUGUGUUCAUGAAAUUUAAAUCAUUGGCUGAAAGGCACAUAAUUCUGGCCAACUACUUAAGUGUCUCAUAGUAUCGCAAAAAGGCUAGAAACAUCUACGAAAUUGUCACAUCCUUUUUUAUAAGAUAGAUUUAUAGGUUUGUCUUUUUUGACCAGGUAACUGUGUAAUGUCAUAAUGAUUUGUUUUGUUGUGUUAGCUGAGUCUCAAACAUAUGCUUGCAGAAUUCAUUUAAGGAGGGAAAUUUCUUUCCCUCAGGAGUAUUUUUAGGAUGGAUUGUUGUAAUCUUUUUGAGGUUCUUGGAUUCACUAGGAGACUUUAAAUUCCAAUACUUAAUAGAAAUUAGCACAUUUAAAAUAUGAACUCAUGUCUAUUUGCAUACUAGCUUUUGCUGAAGAUAUAAAAAUGUCCAAAAUAUUUAGUUAAAAAAAGUCUAGGAGUUCUUGUCGUGGCUGUCUGGGUUAAAAACCUGACACAGGGUCCAUGAGGAUGCUGGUUCGAUCGCUGGACUCGCUCAGUGGGUUAAGGAUCCAGCAUUGCUUAAGCUGCAGCAGAGGUCACAGUUGCGGCUCAGAUCCAGUGUUGCCAUGGCUGUGAUACAGGCCUGAAGCUGGAGCCCUGAUUGGACUCCUAGCCCAGGAACUUCCAUAUGCUGCAGGUGCAGC